UGGCUCUCGCAUCGAUGAAGAACGCAGCGAAAUGCGAUAAGUAAUGUGAAUUGCAGAAUUCAGUGAAUCAUCGAAUCUUUGAACGCACCUUGCGCUCCCUGGUAUUCCGGGGAGCACGCCUGUUCGAGUGUCAUGAAAUUCUCAAGCCGGAUGCUUUAUUGCUGUCCUGGCUUGGAUUUGGGCUUUGCUGUGUCCUUGCGGGUAUAGCUGGUCCUAAAUGCAUUAGCUGGUCCUUAUGUGGAUUUGGUUCUACUCGGCGUGAUAAUUAUCUAACGUUGAGGACAUUCCUUCUGGGAUGGCCAGGUCUUGUUUGGACUGCUUCUAAUCGUCUUAGGACAAUUAUUAUUCAAUCUGACCUCGAAUCAGGUGGGACUACCCGCUGA
This 383-nucleotide unclassified non-coding RNA is filed under the name uncultured fungus. RNAcentral's name for it is "partial contains 5.8S ribosomal RNA and internal transcribed spacer 2". The stretch from base 1 to 133 matches the Rfam family "5.8S ribosomal RNA", at positions 22 to 154 of the family's 154-position model. Lineage: Eukaryota; Fungi. The record is from RNAcentral.